This 334-nucleotide long non-coding RNA is filed under the name Solanum tuberosum (potato). Its description in RNAcentral is "long non-coding RNA (STUB_LNC003711)". The record is from RNAcentral. Lineage: Eukaryota; Viridiplantae; Streptophyta; Magnoliopsida; Solanales; Solanaceae.
UCCAAAUACGGUCAUUAAAUCUAGGAGUAAAAAGGGGUUAUAAACAUGAAUAAGAUACUAACUAGAGAUAAAUUACCAAGUCAUUCAAGCAGUUUUGUGCAAAUUCUUGUAACAUAACAGCAAACCAAACAAAUAAGUAAGCAUAACGGUAAGUAAUGCGCUAGACAACUAAUUAACUAUAAUGUCUCGUUUUAUCCGGACACGUAUCUAGAAAUAGGGAAUAGGAAAAGAGAAUAGGUGUAGUGUCAAAGAAAUAUAUAUGAUCAAUUCCAUGUGAGGGAUAUGCAAGCUCCAUGUUGUAGCGGUGUCGUUGAGUCUCAAAAGGAGACUCGUC